CUUUGGUAUCACCUUAGGCUAGGGAAAGCUCAAAGGGAAAAAAAAUCUGUUCUUAGGCAGGGAAGGGUUCGGAGCCGGCUGGUUGCUGCGAUCAGGCUUCUCGUCGGAGUUAUUUUUACUUGAAAGCUGGCCAAAAAUGUCUCGAAUGUGCAUCACAGCUAGCAUAAAAACACUGGUGGUUUUCAGGUCUUUCAUGUUUAGCAUCCCACCGUUCUGCUAGUCAGCUAAUGCUUCUUGGACCUAUGUGGUAGCUCUCUCCUUGUCAGUCUGGGAUUUUGUACGAAGUUACUCGGUUUCUGUUCAUAAAAAUCAGAAAAAGUUCCUAAAGGUGCCUUCUCCCAGCCUGGUACCUACAGGUGUAAGCCUGGCUACGUGUGACAGCCAGUGACAGCCAGUGGGGAGCGGCUCCUUGGCGCCCUCAGCUCCCAGCGCCCCUUGCCCAAGAGCCGCCCCAGGCUCCCGCUCCCUGCAGCUUCCAUUGCCCCUUGCAACACCGCUCCUCUCCUCCUCCCCGAACACUCAGCAGUGAAUAACACGGCAAAACCACAGGAUUCCAGCAGACAAAGGUCUUCCUCUCCCAGAAGUGCCUCCUGAGGAGCUGUUUUUGUUACUUUUUCAGUUGGAUCAGAGUUCCCUGUUCCAGUUUGUGAUGUGGCUCCGAAGUCUUUCAGCAGAGUAAAGGCAAUGAGAGGUGGGAAUGUUCAGGUCAUGGUUUCAAACCUAUCAUCAUUUGUGCCUGGUUCUUCUCUGGACACUCUCCAACAGAGCCAAAUUAUUCUUGAAGUGUAGUGCCUGGAACUGGAUAUACAGACAAGACCUUAGCUGCAGUAGUUGACAUUAUUCAGGCCUUUAUGUUAUAAUCCCCUCAGCCUCCUUCUUGAGGCCUGGUCUUUACUUUUAUGUUGUCUGCCCUAUGCUUGUGCAGUUAAACAUUGCUGCCCAAGUGCAGUAUCUCAAAUUUACCUCCAUUAAAAAGCUAUUUUCAGACCCUUCUAUAAAUAUGUCAAGAGCGUAUG
RNAcentral lists this long non-coding RNA (1016 nucleotides) under Junco hyemalis (dark-eyed junco). RNAcentral's name for it is "lncRNA (ENSJHYG00000016906.1)". Lineage: Eukaryota; Metazoa; Chordata; Aves; Passeriformes; Passerellidae. The record is from RNAcentral.